CUAAGAUUGCAUUUUUCCGCUCGGGACCAUGAUCCUCCCAAUCACAGGAAAAAUGCUUCAUAUACACGAAAUUCGAAAGGUUACCCGUCCGAAUUUCGUGACGUUCCUAAUUUCCUGAAAUUCGGAAUGAAAGGUUAACGAAGUCACAGGUAUUCGAACAAUCGUCCUGUACUCAGAACAGUUUUCAUCUGUAUCACGCAAGGUUCAUCUGGUUUCGCGCGUUCCUUACCUAUGUGUGAGUAAACAACUGUUGUUUAUCUCAUUCUAUCGUGUGACAACUGCAAUGAAGAUUUUGUUUGAGGUUAGUUUCCGAAUUUAUGAGAGGGUCAAGUGCUCGGAAAUGGACGUCGUAGCAACCUGGAAGUGUUACUUAUUACUUCGAAAAACCAGCGGAAAACGAUACCCGAUUCUAUGAAAUUUAAUUCUUGUAUAAAGUUUGGAACUAAUAGAACCAGAAGACAAUCAAAGCAAACGGCAGUAGAAACUAAAGCAACUCCGAAAUGGGCGGAAUUCUGCUUCGAGAAGUCCAAAGAAAUUCUCACAAUGUGGUGCUGUAAGUUUCAGUACCAUUCAACCACCGGCUCGAAUGAUAGAAAAAACGUUCUCAACGGAUCUAAACCCGUCGCAAAAAAUCCACGGGAUGUGCGGGAGGUGCUAAUGCCAAGUGCCAACGCAAAAAGAUAAAAAAAAAACAAUAAACUAAUCAGCAAAUUACGCAAGUAAAUCAUUCAAGGAUAACCAGGCCGGCCAAUCUGUAAACCAAGAAAAAGGUGAUAAGAGAUACAGAAGACGACUGCUACAACACUCGCCGCAAAAAUAAGAUCAGCAGGGAAAAACAUCCCUUCGAGUGGACACUAACCCCAUCCUCAAUUGGUCGGAAAGAACAACCUGCAAGGGUUUCCAAAAACGGAAGAUGACCGGAGAAGGAAUCGUAGCCAAAAGAGGAACUUGCGCUACAAAAGAGCACUUAAAGAUGUUCCUUUGUGCCUGCGGAUGCCUUAAAGUAACCGGGUGCACAUUUAAGCUACCGGAAAUGACGAUUUUCUUCGCGAGUAAGAAGCGGAUGAGGAAGCCGAUCAGAUAUCUCUCGUAAACC
Long non-coding RNA from Uranotaenia lowii, 1096 nucleotides. RefSeq lists it as uncharacterized. The transcript has 4 exons. Lineage: Eukaryota; Metazoa; Arthropoda; Insecta; Diptera; Culicidae. The record is from RefSeq and is a predicted model, not a curated record.